Molecule: long non-coding RNA, 312 nt
Filed under: Ananas comosus (pineapple)
Lineage: Eukaryota; Viridiplantae; Streptophyta; Magnoliopsida; Poales; Bromeliaceae
Description: long non-coding RNA (ACOM_LNC040280)
Source: RNAcentral
UGAGAAUAAAUUAAGAUUGGGGUGGAGGGAGGAGAAGAAGAACAAGAGAAAAAGUGGCGUUGUAGAUAAAGAUGAACAGAUGCAUCGGCCGUUGUACAAUAAGAUAAGAAGCAAGAGGAGAAGAAAUAUUCGUUCCAUGAGGAUGGGAUCGGGAUGGAUUGAGGCCUUGAGGGAGAGAUGGGACCAUGCUGAUGGCAAUAGUGAUAGAAAUAGGAAAGAGAGGAGGUUUUGUAUAGCGAUAAAAGAUGCCCAAUUUUUUUCACCCCUUUCUAUUUCGAAGCAUUAACGUACCCUAAGUUUACUCCCACUUUG